UGAAAUUUGUUUACCCCUGUUCCA
This 24-nucleotide non-coding RNA is filed under the name Mus musculus (house mouse). Lineage: Eukaryota; Metazoa; Chordata; Mammalia; Rodentia; Muridae. The record is from RNAcentral.